UACGUAGGUGGCGAGCGUUAUCCGGAUUUACUGGGCGUAGAGCGCUUGUAGGCGGCUUCGUAAGUUGGGCGUGAAAGCUCCGGGCUUAACCCGGAGAGGCCGCCCAAUACUGCGGAGCUCGAGGGUGCCAGAGGAAGGUGGAAUUCCUGGUGUAGCGGUGAAAUGCGUAGAUAUCAGGAGGAACACCCGUGGCGAAGGCGGCUUUCGGGGGCAUUCCUGACGCUGAGAAGCGAAAGCUAGGGGAGCAAACAGG
Molecule: ribosomal RNA, 253 nt
Filed under: uncultured bacterium
Lineage: Bacteria
Description: partial 16S ribosomal RNA
Rfam family: Bacterial small subunit ribosomal RNA
Source: RNAcentral